This 75-nucleotide transfer RNA is filed under the name Candidatus Uabimicrobium amorphum. RNAcentral's name for it is "Planctomycetes bacterium SRT547 tRNA-Gln". It matches the Rfam family "tRNA". Rfam says of the family: Transfer RNA (tRNA) molecules are approximately 80 nucleotides in length. Lineage: Bacteria; Pseudomonadati; Planctomycetota; Candidatus Uabimicrobiia; Candidatus Uabimicrobiales; Candidatus Uabimicrobiaceae. RNAcentral also lists the same sequence under 2 other names. The record is from RNAcentral.
UACCCCGUGGUGUAAUUGGUAGCACUGCAGAUUUUGGUUCUGUAAGUUAAGGUUCGAGUCCUUACGGGGUAGCCA